Molecule: ribosomal RNA, 466 nt
Filed under: uncultured bacterium
Lineage: Bacteria
Description: partial 16S ribosomal RNA
Rfam family: Bacterial small subunit ribosomal RNA
Source: RNAcentral
GACGAACGCUGGCGGCGUGCUUAACACAUGCAAGUCGAACGGAAAGGCUCCAGCUUGCUGGAGUACUCGAGUGGCGAACGGGUGAGUAACACGUGGGUAAUCUGCCCUGCACUCUGGGAUAAGCCUGGGAAACUGGGUCUAAUACUGGAUAUGACCUUUCUCCUUAUGGGGUUUGGUGGAAAGUUUUUCGGUGUAGGAUGAGCCCGCGGCCUAUCAGCUUGUUGGUGGGGUGAUGGCCUACCAAGGCGACGACGGGUAGCCGGCCUGAGAGGGUGAUCGGCCACAUUGGGACUGAGAUACGGCCCAGACUCCUACGGGAGGCAGCAGUGGGGAAUAUUGCACAAUGGGCGGAAGCCUGAUGCAGCGACGCCGCGUGAGGGAUGACGGCCUUCGGGUUGUAAACCUCUUUCAGCAGGGACGAAGCGUAAGUGACGGUACCUGCAGAAGAAGCACCGGCUAACUACGU